Camelus ferus (Wild Bactrian camel) is the source of this 73-nucleotide non-coding RNA. The record is from Rfam. Lineage: Eukaryota; Metazoa; Chordata; Mammalia; Artiodactyla; Camelidae.
GGAGGGUACAGCUCAGGGGUAGAGUGCGCGCUUGGCAUGCACGAGGCCCUGGGUUCAGUCCCCAGCACCUCCA